RNAcentral lists this ribosomal RNA (444 nucleotides) under uncultured bacterium. RNAcentral describes it as "partial 16S ribosomal RNA". It matches the Rfam family "Bacterial small subunit ribosomal RNA", at positions 354 to 796 of the family's 1533-position model. The record is from RNAcentral.
GUGAGGAAUAUUGGUCAAUGGGCGAGAGCCUGAACCAGCCAAGUCGCGUGAAGGAAGAAGGAUCUAUGGUUCGUAAACUUCUUUUGCAGGGGAAUAAAGUGCAGGACGUGUCCUGUUUUGUAUGUACCCUGAGAAUAAGGAUCGGCUAACUCCGUGCCAGCAGCCGCGGUAAUACGGAGGAUCCGAGCGUUAUCCGGAUUUAUUGGGUUUAAAGGGUGCGUAGGUGGUUUGAUAAGUCAGCGGUGAAAGUUUGCAGCUUAACUGUAAAAAUGCCGUUGAAACUGUCGGACUUGAGUGUAAAUGAGGUAGGCGGAAUGCGUGGUGUAGCGGUGAAAUGCAUAGAUAUCACGCAGAACUCCGAUUGCGAAGGCAGCUUACUAAGCUACAACUGACACUGAAGCACGAAAGCGUGGGGAUCAAACAGGAUUAGAAACCCCGGUGUCC